RNAcentral lists this ribosomal RNA (118 nucleotides) under Eptatretus burgeri (inshore hagfish). Lineage: Eukaryota; Metazoa; Chordata; Myxini; Myxiniformes; Myxinidae. The record is from RNAcentral.
GCUUUGGACUUAAUAGCUUCAAUGCACCCAAUGUCAUUAGAUCUCAGAAACUAGGCAAAGCCAAGGCCAGGCAGUACUUGGAUGGUAGAACUCCACAGAAUGCAGGGUGUUGAAGGUG